Molecule: transfer RNA, 76 nt
Filed under: compost metagenome
Description: tRNA-Trp
Rfam family: tRNA
About the family: Transfer RNA (tRNA) molecules are approximately 80 nucleotides in length. Their secondary structure includes four short double-helical elements and three loops (D, anti-codon, and T loops).
Source: RNAcentral
AGGCCCGUAGCUCAAUUGGCAGAGCAGCGGCCUCCAAAGCCGAAGGUUGAGGGUUCGAUUCCUUCCGGGCCUGCCA